This is a ribozyme of Fukomys damarensis (Damara mole-rat), 278 nucleotides long. It matches the Rfam family "RNase MRP". From Rfam's summary of the family: RNase MRP is an enzymatically active ribonucleoprotein with two distinct roles in eukaryotes. In mitochondria it plays a direct role in the initiation of mitochondrial DNA replication. In the nucleus it is involved in precursor rRNA processing, where it cleaves the internal transcribed spacer 1 between 18S and 5.8S rRNAs. The record is from Ensembl. NCBI's taxonomy places the organism in Eukaryota, Metazoa, Chordata, Mammalia, Rodentia, Bathyergidae.
GCUCGUGCUGAAGGCCUGUUUCCUAGGCUACAAACGGAGGACUUGUUCCUUGUCCACUCGCCUAGGGGAAAGUCCCCGGACCUUGGGCAGAGAGUGCCACGUGUUCGCGCACGUAGACUAGUCCGCACUUCACAGCUAGCCCGCCAAGAAGCUUCACGGGUCCUUGGGGCUCAGGUAGCUGAGCGGCGUGUCGCGGGAAAGUCAUCCGUCAGCUCCUCUAGUAACGCAGGCAGUGCGCCCGUCCGCACCAACCUCACGGGGCUCAUUCUCAGCGCGGC